GACGAACGCUGGCGGCGUGCUUAACACAUGCAAGUCGAACGGAAAGGCCCUGCUUUUGUGGGGUGCUCGAGUGGCGAGCGGGUGAGUAACACGUGAGUAACCUGCCCUUGACUUUGGGAUAACUUCAGGAAACUGGGGCUAAUACCGGAUAGGAGCUCCUGCUGCAUGGUGGGGGUUGGAAAGUUUCGGCGGUUGGGGAUGGACUCGCGGCUUAUCAGCUUGUUGGUGGGGUAGUGGCUUACCAAGGCUUUGACGGGUAGCCGGCCUGAGAGGGUGACCGGCCACAUUGGGACUGAGAUACGGCCCAGACUCCUACGGGAGGCAGCAGUGGGGAAUAUUGCACAAUGGGCGGAAGCCUGAUGCAGCAACGCCGCGUGCGGGAUGACGGCCUUCGGGUUGUAAACCGCUUUCGCCUGUGACGAAGCGUGAGUGACUGUAAUGGGUAAAGAAGCACCGGCUAACUACGUG
This 468-nucleotide ribosomal RNA is filed under the name uncultured bacterium. RNAcentral describes it as "partial 16S ribosomal RNA". It matches the Rfam family "Bacterial small subunit ribosomal RNA", at positions 28 to 507 of the family's 1533-position model. The record is from RNAcentral.